GUAACAAGGUUUCCGUAGGUGAACCUGCGGAAGGAUCAUUACCGAGUGAGGGCCCUUUGGGUCCAACCUCCCACCCGUGUUUAUUUACCUCGUUGCUUCGGCGGGCCCGCCUUAACUGGCCGCCGGGGGGCUCACGCCCCCGGGCCCGCGCCCGCCGAAGACACCCCCGAACUCUGCCUGAAGAUUGUCGUCUGAGUGAAAAUAUAAAUUAUUUAAAACUUUCAACAACGGAUCUCUUGGUUCCGGCAUCGAUGAAGAACGCAGCGAAAUGCGAUACGUAAUGUGAAUUGCAAAUUCAGUGAAUCAUCGAGUCUUUGAACGCACAUUGCGCCCCCUGGUAUUCCGGGGGGCAUGCCUGUCCGAGCGUCAUUGCUGCCCUCAAGCCCGGCUUGUGUGUUGGGCCCCGUCCUCCGAUUCCGGGGGACGGGCCCGAAAGGCAGCGGCGGCACCGCGUCCGGUCCUCGAGCGUAUGGGGCUUUGUCACCCGCUCUGUAGGCCCGGCCGGCGCUUGCCGAUCAACCCAAAUUUUUAUCCAGGUUGACCUCGGAUCAGGUA
Molecule: ribosomal RNA, 555 nt
Filed under: Penicillium expansum
Lineage: Eukaryota; Fungi; Ascomycota; Eurotiomycetes; Eurotiales; Aspergillaceae
Description: eukaryotic LSU rRNA
Rfam family: 5.8S ribosomal RNA (bases 217-369)
Source: RNAcentral